GUGCCUAGGGGUGAAAGGCCAAUCAAACUCGGAGAUAGCUGGUUCUCCGCGAAAUCUAUUUAGGUAGAGCGUCAUCCGAAUACCCCGGGGGGUAGAGCACUGGAUGGGUAAUGGGGCCCCACAGGCUUACUGAUCCUAACCAAACUCCGAAUACCCGGGAGUACUAGAUGGCAGACACACGGCGGAUGCUAACGUCCGUCGUGAAGAGGGAAACAACCCUGACCGACAGUUAAGGCCCCCAAUUCAUGGCUAAGUGGGAAAGCAGGUGGGACGACCAAAACAACCAGGAGGUUGGCUUAGAAGCAGCCACCCUUUAAAGAAAGCGUAAUAGCUCACUGGUCCAGCGAACCUGCGCCGAAAAUGUAACGGGUCUAAGCAUGACACCGAAGCCACGGAUCUCGUAAGAGAUGGUAGGAGAGUAUUCCAACGGCGAUGAAGGUCAACCGAAAGGAUGGCUGGAGCUUUUGGAAGAGCUUAUGCAGGCAUGAGUAGCGAUAAAACGGGCGAGAAACCCGUUCGCCGUAAGCCUAAGGUUUCCUAGGCCAGGUUAAUCCUCCUAGGGUGAGUCGGACCCUAAGCCGAGGCCGAAAGGCGUAGGCGAUGGAAAACAGGCAAAUAUUCCUGUACCAGCUCUAC
RNAcentral lists this ribosomal RNA (636 nucleotides) under Alexandrium tamarense. RNAcentral's name for it is "partial Bacterial large subunit ribosomal RNA". It matches the Rfam family "Bacterial large subunit ribosomal RNA", at positions 811 to 1453 of the family's 2925-position model. The record is from RNAcentral. Lineage: Eukaryota; Dinophyceae; Gonyaulacales; Pyrocystaceae.